UAAAUUAUGUAAUUAUUAAAUUAAAUGUCACCUUGACGUUUUUUCUCUUAAAUUUAUAAUUUUGUCUAAAUUUAUAGUGAUGAAUCCAUAUUUAAAAGAAAUCUUCAUUGGAGCUGUGUUUAUCAGUUUUAUUUUUACAUUAUUUAGUACUAUUUGUCGUGGAAGACGUUGAAAAACCGAAAAUUCCAAAUCACUUCUCAAAUAUGAACAUUCGUGAUGUGUGUAUUACUGGCCUCAUCAUGCUCAUCGUCUACAACGUAAGCAGACAUUACUGGCAAUCAAAAACAAAGUAAUCAAUCAUUUCACAAGAUCAUUACAGCAUUUCGAGGGAAACAGUAGUGGCAGUGGUGAUGAUCGCUAAAGAAAACCAUCUUUGUGCGUUAAAAAAUCUGUGUCAAGUAGAAACAUCUACGGCCCUUCAAAUGGCGGAGCUGUAUAAUUCUCAUCAUCAGUGGCACAUUCAGCUUCCCAAUCGACAGGAAUCACAUUGGAUGUCAAUUUAAUUAUAUCUUCAAGUGGGCAGAACAUUUCACAGCCUGGUAACUGGUGUUGUAUAUACUCUGCAGUUGAGUUUUUAGUAAAGAUCUAAAAAAUACAAAAAAUAUAAUGUAUAAUCAAUUUAAAUUUGAUUUAAUUGCAAAUAAUAUGGAAGGUUUUUAUGAUAAAAAUGAAAAUUAACUUUGA
Molecule: long non-coding RNA, 684 nt
Organism: Dalotia coriaria
Lineage: Eukaryota; Metazoa; Arthropoda; Insecta; Coleoptera; Staphylinidae
Exons: 3
Source: RefSeq, a predicted model, not a curated record